GAAAAGCGAAUUAUGAGACUUUG
RNAcentral lists this non-coding RNA (23 nucleotides) under Arabidopsis thaliana (thale cress). The record is from RNAcentral. Lineage: Eukaryota; Viridiplantae; Streptophyta; Magnoliopsida; Brassicales; Brassicaceae.